Mangifera indica (mango) is the source of this 416-nucleotide long non-coding RNA. RefSeq lists it as uncharacterized. The transcript has 2 exons. Lineage: Eukaryota; Viridiplantae; Streptophyta; Magnoliopsida; Sapindales; Anacardiaceae. The record is from RefSeq and is a predicted model, not a curated record.
CUGAUUAAUCAUAGGUUGUUUAACUAGAAUGGAAUCUUUAUUAAAUAUAUAUAAUGUAUGUGUAUAGUUACACACACACACUUGCUUUAGACUAGGCUUAGUAUCGAUUCACCUUGCAUGAAUAUAUAACUGAUGGUUAUGCAUGCUAAUUGGUCAGUUGUCUUCAAGGCAUGACUUAGGGUUGGUUCUUAGGAAUUGGGACUUCAAUCCUGACUAGAAGUGAAUGAGAGUUUUAGGUUUCAGUUCUCUGGCAUAAAUUUAAGCCCUUGGAUAGAUUCGCUGAUGGCUGCUAAAUCUUGGUCAUAUCUUGCACUGUAUCACACUUUGUUAACUUUUCACAAGGAUUUGAACAUCAAAUAUUGGGACUAAAGUACAAGUUUUUAGAAUCUGAACAUAAAGAUUUUACCAAUUAAUUG